Molecule: ribosomal RNA, 765 nt
Filed under: uncultured Weissella sp.
Lineage: Bacteria; Bacillati; Bacillota; Bacilli; Lactobacillales; Lactobacillaceae
Description: bacterial SSU rRNA
Rfam family: Bacterial small subunit ribosomal RNA
Source: RNAcentral
GAACGGGUGAGUAACACGUGGGAAACCUACCUCUUAGCAGGGGAUAACAUUUGGAAACAGAUGCUAAUACCGUAUAACAAUGACAACCGCAUGGUUGUUAUUUAAAAGAUGGUUCUGCUAUCACUAAGAGAUGGUCCCGCGGUGCAUUAGCUAGUUGGUAAGGUAAUGGCUUACCAAGGCGAUGAUGCAUAGCCGAGUUGAGAGACUGAUCGGCCACAAUGGGACUGAGACACGGCCCAUACUCCUACGGGAGGCAGCAGUAGGGAAUCUUCCACAAUGGGCGAAAGCCUGAUGGAGCAACGCCGCGUGUGUGAUGAAGGGUUUCGGCUCGUAAAACACUGUUGUAAGAGAAGAAUGACAUUGAGAGUAACUGUUCAAUGUGUGACGGUAUCUUACCAGAAAGGAACGGCUAAAUACGUGCCAGCAGCCGCGGUAAUACGUAUGUUCCAAGCGUUAUCCGGAUUUAUUGGGCGUAAAGCGAGCGCAGACGGUUAUUUAAGUCUGAAGUGAAAGCCCUCAGCUCAACUGAGGAAUUGCUUUGGAAACUGGAUGACUUGAGUGCAGUAGAGGAAAGUGGAACUCCAUGUGUAGCGGUGAAAUGCGUAGAUAUAUGGAAGAACACCAGUGGCGAAGGCGGCUUUCUGGACUGUAACUGACGUUGAGGCUCGAAAGUGUGGGUAGCAAACAGGAUUAGAUACCCUGGUAGUCCACACCGUAAACGAUGAGUGCUAGGUGUGUAAGGGUUUCCGCCCUUAAGUGCCGCAG